ACGACUCUCGGCAACGGAUAUCUCGGCUCUUGCAUCGAUGAAGAACGUAGCGAAAUGCGAUACUUGGUGUGAAUUGCAGAAUCCCGCGAACCAUCGAGUCUUUGAACGCAAGUUGCGCCCGAGGCCUCCUGGCCGAGGGCACGUCUGCCUGGGUGUCACGCAUCGUCGCCCCCAAACCCCCUCGCCUGGCGAGGGCGGGCGCGGAUACUGGCCUCCCGCGCGCUCCCGCUCGCGGCUGGCCCGAAAUCGAGCCGUGGGCGACGGUCGCCACGACGAGCGGUGGUUGAGAGGCCCUCGAGAGCGGUCGUGCGCGCCCCGUCGGCCCCCGGGAUCUCCUGGACCCUCGAGCAUCCGGUUCGGAGGAUGCUCUCGCUGCGACCCCAGGUCAGGCGGGACUACCCGCUGAGUUUAAGCAUAUCAAUAAGCGGAGGAAAAGAAACUUACGAGGAUUCCCCUAGUAACGGCGAGCGAACCGGGAAACGCCC
RNAcentral lists this ribosomal RNA (485 nucleotides) under Homalium ceylanicum. RNAcentral describes it as "eukaryotic LSU rRNA". The stretch from base 3 to 158 matches the Rfam family "5.8S ribosomal RNA". Lineage: Eukaryota; Viridiplantae; Streptophyta; Magnoliopsida; Malpighiales; Salicaceae. The record is from RNAcentral.